This 233-nucleotide long non-coding RNA is filed under the name Cavia porcellus (domestic guinea pig). RNAcentral describes it as "lncRNA (ENSCPOG00000035346.1)". The record is from RNAcentral. Lineage: Eukaryota; Metazoa; Chordata; Mammalia; Rodentia; Caviidae.
UCAGCUCAGGCCAGAGCUAUACAGGAAGACCUUGACCCAAAAAGAAAGAAAACUAGAGAAAAUGGAAGCAAACUAAAGUGGAGGAGUCUCACUAUAAAGUUCACGAUGUCAAUCAACCUGUGAGGAGAAGAGGCCAGCCAGGAGAAGGAACAAAUGAAGGUGAGAAACACAGAGCCAUGAGAAGAAAGACAUCUACAACUACAUGAAGCAGGUCAUAAUGUAAUGGCUUUGUG